RNAcentral lists this ribosomal RNA (444 nucleotides) under Dasypus bellus. RNAcentral describes it as "partial 12S ribosomal RNA". It matches the Rfam family "Bacterial small subunit ribosomal RNA", at positions 541 to 1222 of the family's 1533-position model. Lineage: Eukaryota; Metazoa; Chordata; Mammalia; Cingulata; Dasypodidae. The record is from RNAcentral.
CAAAUUAAUAGUUAUCGGCGUAAAGCGUGUUUAAGACACCUAGACAAUAGAGUUAAACCCUUACUACGCUGUAAAAAGCCUUAGUAGGACCAUAAACCCUUCAACGAAAGUGACUCUAAUUUAUCUGACUACACGAUAGCUAGGACCCAAACUGGGAUUAGAUACCCCACUAUGCCUAGCCCUAAACUAAAACAGUUCACAAACAAAACUGUUCGCCAGAGUACUACUAGCAACAGCUUAAAACUCAAAGGACUUGGCGGUGCUUUACAUCCUUCUAGAGGAGCCUGUUCUAUAAUCGAUAAACCCCGAUAUACCUCACCACCCCUUGCUAAUACAGCCUAUAUACCGCCAUCUUCAGCAGACCCUAGUAAGGCACCACAGUGAGCACAAUAACAUACAUAAAGACGUUAGGUCAAGGUGUAGCUUAUGGGGUGGGAAGAAAUG